Molecule: long non-coding RNA, 2930 nt
Filed under: Lupinus angustifolius (narrow-leaved blue lupine)
Lineage: Eukaryota; Viridiplantae; Streptophyta; Magnoliopsida; Fabales; Fabaceae
Description: long non-coding RNA (LANG_LNC003190)
Source: RNAcentral
UGAAUUUGGAAGCAAUGGAAUUUACAAGACCUGCUGCUUAUGUGGUUUGUAUGUCAUUCUUCUUUGUGCUUUGGUGAAAUGGGUUUCAGAGGCCAAGAGGUGGACACCCCACGAUUUUUUAAGGCAGAGCAAGUGUGGGAACAUUGCAGGAAAGAAUUGAUAGAGAGGGACAAUGAUUAUAUUGAAGAUUUGGACUUUGAAAUGAAAAAUAAUAUAGACACAGAAACUAGAUUUCAACCUCCACAUAUGAAACAAACUUUUUUUUGGAAUGUACAAGAAAGAAAGUUCCUACUACUCCUAUUUUUGAAGAAAUUUUGUCACUCUUUAGUGUAGCAAAUGAUUAUGAAAGAUAUUUGGCUUCUGAGUCACCAACAAGUCCUGUUACUGAUCCAUCAACACCUCCUGAUUCUCCAUCAUCAAGGCCUCCACCUGCUCAACAAAAAAAAACCAAAGUUAAAGCCAUUUUUCUAGGAUAAGGUUGCUACUCCGAAACACGGAUUCAUCAAACACCCUCACGCGUCUGUGUCUGACACGGAUACACUCGGAUUCGCGAAGGAUACUUAUCCGUAGAGUAUCCAAAAAUUAAAAAAAUAAAAUAAAAUAAAAAUCAAGACACGGAUUCGUUUUAUAUAAAAUAUAGGAUAUAUGGAUUCGUUUUCAGUAAAAUAUAUGAUAUAUGGAUUCGUUUUCAGUAAAAUAUAGGAUAUAUAGAUUUGUUUUCAAUAAAAUAUGACAAAUAGAUUCGUUUUCAAUAAAAUAGAAUAAGAUAGAGCAAUGAUUUUCAAAUUCCAUUAUAUUUUUUAGUUUGGAUAUUUUGAUUUACACUUAUAAUUUUAUCAUUUUUUUGUGUUUUUUAUUGUUUUAUAUGUGUAUCCUUGAACGUAUUGUAUCCUAUUAUUCAGAAAAAAUGCGUGUUGACAUAUCGGAUACGUAUCGUAUCCGAUAUACAUAUCCGUAUCCGUAUUCGUGCUUCAUAGGACUUGCUACAAAGCCUGAUCAUGCAAUGGUGUGGAAGGUAGAGAGGGAUCAUUUCAGUUUAGUGAAGAAGAGAUAGAGUUUUUCGUUGGAUUUACCACCCAGAACAAAAAUGAAAGAAAAAUAAAACACAGUUUUAUUCAAGAAGCAUAAUGAGAUGGCUUGGAAGACAAAUGAAGCUGAAGGAUGAAAUAGCUUAAAAUAUGAAUAUCAAUCAAGAAAAUAACCAACCAAGCAAACCAAAGAUCAGAUAUUUCACAAGCAUUGACAACAUUAAAGAAAUGUUAUAAAAAGAAUAAACAAUCAGCCAUGAAGAGCAUAUCCAACUGUAUAAAUCAGAAUUCAUGCCAUCAUGCAGAUAUCUUCAAACAGUUACAAAUUGAAGCAUUGAUGAAAGCACUAUACAGAUGGCAUUGGGCUGAUAAAUAGCAGUAAACAGACAGCACGAAAACAUAUACAAAUCAGCAGCGGGAAUAUCAGAGAUGGCAAUAAAGAAAUACAUAUCAGAAGUUAUUAUCAUUUCAGUUACACACUCAACCAAAAUGAUAAUAUUGAUGAGCAGUUUCAAUGGAACGAUCAGAAGGCAAAAGACAUAGUACGUUCCUUAUUCUCAAAAAUGCAACUGAAGAGACUUUUAUAAACUAACAGAGAAGUCACACUCAGCUUUAAAAAAAGCAAGCAACAAUCAGAUAAAGGAGAGACCACACAUACACCUAUAACUCUAGCAAGAGGACACAUACAACACACUCAUACAAAAUAGAAAUGAGAAACAAAAAAAAGGAAGCUAGAAAGAGAGGGGAGAGACACUGAUAUCAAAAAUUCAUCAGUCAGUAUAAAAGGAGAGCAAUCCAUACAUAUCAAAACACGGUUGCUACAGAUCAAAUAUACAUAGGGAUUCAUAAUAUAUUAUACAUUGAGAGAGAGAGUAAGGUAUUGAUACAACUACAACAAGAACAAGAAAAACAGAAAGGAGAAACAGUCAGCCAUACCAGAAAAGAGAAGAAUUCAACUAAAUUGCGGAGGGUGCACAGAACACUUAAAGAAUGAAACCCUAGGGUUAACGGACAAGAGGAAAGGCAUACUUCCAGUUAAGCAUCAAACACUAUUCAUCUAAAUAAUUAUAAACAAACACAACUAUCCUACUCAUGUUAAAAGAAACACCUACAACCUCUAAGUGCAUUCAUGAGCAUCUAUAAGCAUAUUGUUAAAAUAAAUGGUAAAUGCUCGUGUCAUUCAUUCUUCUUAUCAUUUUAUGUCAGUAACACGAAUCAGAGACCCAAUCAAGAAUGAUUUAAUAGAUAAAAUUAAGAUUUUAAGAAAACAUAUCCCCUAAUGUCAUAGUAAUCCCAAUAGAGAAACCAAAUUCCAAUCGUUGAUGAAUUACCAUGAAGGUAAGGUUGGCCUCUUUAUGCAGCGACACUCCUUUGUCCCGCUGUCACCGAAUCAAUGCAAACCGAUUUGGGACCAAAUCGUAGCUACCAUUGCACCGCAAGCCAAUUGCAGGUCCAUAUUCCACAACGCCUUAGCCAUCCUCAUUGAUUGAAAAUCGACUCACGGAGGGGGCGGUGUUCGGCUCACCGGGAAACCCAUCCUCCUUGUUUGAAUCAAUUUAGUCUCCCCCGUCGUUUUAGAACCACCACGAAAAGAGGGUUCCCGCCAUCAUGACUCACCGCAGGAAGGAGAGAAUCCGUUGCUAGCAAGAGGAGAAGGUGAGGCUCGCGAUUUUGCUCGCUUUGCAUCGUGAAGGAGAAGAAGAGAGAAGAGGGGAGGGGAGGGGAAUUUAGGGAUUUAGUCCCCUUUCGGAAAUGGAGAGCAGAAGAAGGAGCUGCAGAUUUGAGGCAUCAUAGUAGCCAUGGAUGGCCCUUGUUCGUCGCCAUCACCGCUGGAAUGAAACAAAAAGCGAGGCUAGGGAUUUCAUUCCCUCUUCAUGGUGAAAGAGACUGGGUAACUGAGGU